This 465-nucleotide ribosomal RNA is filed under the name Vreelandella stevensii. RNAcentral's name for it is "partial 16S ribosomal RNA". It matches the Rfam family "Bacterial small subunit ribosomal RNA", at positions 338 to 795 of the family's 1533-position model. The record is from RNAcentral. Lineage: Bacteria; Pseudomonadati; Pseudomonadota; Gammaproteobacteria; Oceanospirillales; Halomonadaceae.
CCUACGGGUGGCAGCAGUGGGGAAUAUUGGACAAUGGGCGAAAGCCUGAUCCAGCCAUGCCGCGUGUGUGAAGAAGGCCUUCGGGUUGUAAAGCACUUUCAGUGGGGAAGAAAGCCUUGGGGCUAAUACCCUCGAGGAAGGACAUCACCCACAGAAGAAGCACCGGCUAACUCCGUGCCAGCAGCCGCGGUAAUACGGAGGGUGCGAGCGUUAAUCGGAAUUACUGGGCGUAAAGCGCGCGUAGGCGGUCUGAUAAGCCGGUUGUGAAAGCCCCGGGCUCAACCUGGGAACGGCAUCCGGAACUGUCAGGCUAGAGUGCAGGAGAGGAAGGUAGAAUUCCCGGUGUAGCGGUGAAAUGCGUAGAGAUCGGGAGGAAUACCAGCGGCGAAGGCGGCCUUCUGGACUGACACUGACGCUGAGGUGCGAAAGCGUGGGUAGCAAACAGGAUUAGAUACCCCAGUAGUC